GAUGAACGCUGGCGGCGUGCCUAAUACAUGCAAGUCGAGCGAACAGACGAGGAGCUUGCUCCUCUGACGUUAGCGGCGGACGGGUGAGUAACACGUGGAUAACCUACCUAUAAGACUGGGAUAACUUCGGGAAACCGGAGCUAAUACCGGAUAAUAUAUUGAACCGCAUGGUUCAAUAGUGAAAGACGGUUUUGCUGUCACUUAUAGAUGGAUCCGCGCCGCAUUAGCUAGUUGGUAAGGUAACGGCUUACCAAGGCAACGAUGCGUAGCCGACCUGAGAGGGUGAUCGGCCACACUGGAACUGAGACACGGUCCAGACUCCUACGGGAGGCAGCAGUAGGGAAUCUUCCGCAAUGGGCGAAAGCUUGACGGAGCAACGCCGCGUGAGUGAUGAAGGUCUUCGGAUCGUAAAACUCUGUUAUUAGGGAAGAACAAAUGUGUAAGUAACUAUGCACGUCUUGACGGUACCUAAUCAGAAAGCCACGGCUAUCUACGUG
Molecule: ribosomal RNA, 497 nt
Filed under: uncultured bacterium
Lineage: Bacteria
Description: partial 16S ribosomal RNA
Rfam family: Bacterial small subunit ribosomal RNA
Source: RNAcentral